UGACCUUGUCUUUCAUGCUGUCUCUGGUUC
RNAcentral lists this non-coding RNA (30 nucleotides) under Mus musculus (house mouse). The record is from RNAcentral. Lineage: Eukaryota; Metazoa; Chordata; Mammalia; Rodentia; Muridae.